RNAcentral lists this ribosomal RNA (775 nucleotides) under uncultured bacterium. Its description in RNAcentral is "bacterial SSU rRNA". It matches the Rfam family "Bacterial small subunit ribosomal RNA", at positions 42 to 806 of the family's 1533-position model. The record is from RNAcentral.
ACAGGCUUAACACAUGCAAGUCGAGGGGCAGCAUGAUUUGUAGCAAUACAGAUUGAUGGCGACCGGCGCACGGGUGAGUAACGCGUAUGCAACUUACCUAUCAGAGGGGGAUAGCCCGGCGAAAGUCGGAUUAAUACCCCAUAAAACAGGGGUCCCGCAUGGGAAUAUUUGUUAAAGAUUCAUCGCUGAUAGAUAGGCAUGCGUUCCAUUAGGCAGUUGGCGGGGUAACGGCCCACCAAACCGACGAUGGAUAGGGGUUCUGAGAGGAAGGUCCCCCACAUUGGUACUGAGACACGGACCAAACUCCUACGGGAGGCAGCAGUGAGGAAUAUUGGUCAAUGGCCGAGAGGCUGAACCAGCCAAGUCGCGUGAAGGAAGAAGGAUCUAUGGUUUGUAAACUUCUUUUAUAGGGGAAUAAAGUGGAGGACGUGUCCUUUUUUGUAUGUACCCUAUGAAUAAGCAUCGGCUAACUCCGUGCCAGCAGCCGCGGUAAUACGGAGGAUGCGAGCGUUAUCCGGAUUUAUUGGGUUUAAAGGGUGCGUAGGUGGUGAUUUAAGUCAGCGGUGAAAGUUUGUGGCUCAACCAUAAAAUUGCCGUUGAAACUGGUUACUUGAGUGUGUUUGAGGUAGGCGGAAUGCGUGGUGUAGCGGUGAAAUGCAUAGAUAUCACGCAGAACUCCGAUUGCGAAGGCAGCUUACUAAACCAUAACUGACACUGAAGCACGAAAGCGUGGGGAUCAAACAGGCUUAGAUACCCUGGUAGUCCACGCAGUAAA